GAGAGAAAAGAAAGCCUGGAGUGCAAGGCACUAGUGGUUGUUGGGGGGCACCGACAGCACAAAGAAAGUGAACGGUGGACAUUUAUCAAAAGUUGAUCGACGUAUUCGACAAGGACUGUUGAAAGUUUAACUGGGAUAGUGUGUCGUUUGAGUGGACUACUCAAAUCACGCCAUAACGUGGUGGAGUUUGCCGCUACCACAGGGGCUAAGUGCAUGCACGGGACUUGGCUUGGGCGCGAGCAACCAGCUAACGCUAGCUAGCCAGGCCUGUGUAUUGGACCACGAAGGAAAGGGCAAGGGCGCUAGCGUCAAGCUAACGUGGUUAGCGAGGCUGUGUUUGGACUUCAAGGAAGAAAAAGGGACGAGGACCGUGAGGACGCCGUACAGAGGAAAAACCACCUUCACGUUUCUACACUCCUGCCUUGGGGAGCACCGCAGUGACAUUGGGCUCCCGUGGUUGGAGAGGCGGUCAGGUGGCGAUGACCUGCAUCUGAGUCUAGUGCUGUAUGGAUUCUGCACCGACUGACUGGGACAAGACCAGAAGUGGAUCACUUCCCGGGAGGUGUUUCUAUGGAGUAUUCUGCACUGACGAAUCGGUUCAGGUCCCGGGGAGUCAUUACUUUGCCGAAGGAGUCUUCUGUGGCACUAAAUGUUAUUAAAUUGAUUCUCUCUUUGAACUAACAUGGUAGAGCACCAUACCAUGUGAUAUGUUUGGUCCACACGGCAACCAAUGUAGCCUGGUGAUCCUGAAAGGGGGAACCCUCCAGCUAUUGUCUCUUUUCAAGGUUUCUUCUUUUUGUGAUGAAGGACGAUCAUUAUAACCCUUAUAUGGAUAAACUUGACUUGAUAUAAGCAGAGAUAUUUGCAAAUCUUGUAAAAUUUCUGCUCACUGAUAUUUGGAAUGAAUCAUUUCACAAGAGUUUGAUUUUCAUUGGCUUUUUUUGUGUUUUUGUCCCACCACAAAAAGGUCCUAGUCAUGGCAAAGAAAAGAAACAAUAAAACUGAUGCAGUAUUAGAGAACUAAGGAGGGAUGGGUGUAAGAUUCUCAAGAUUCUCAUCAAUGAAUUGAUUGUUGGUAAUUGUGUCUUGAAGCACGACUUGGCUGUAAGCAGCAGUGGCACUGAGUCUCAAUUUCAUUAAAUAAAGAUCCUAUUGAGCUUU
Molecule: long non-coding RNA, 1161 nt
Organism: Syngnathoides biaculeatus (alligator pipefish)
Lineage: Eukaryota; Metazoa; Chordata; Actinopteri; Syngnathiformes; Syngnathidae
Exons: 2
Source: RefSeq, a predicted model, not a curated record